UAAAACUAGUUAAUGUUUUUUUUAUCAGGAAUAAAUUUAAAUUAGUGAAAUCGCGCAUUGCGCUAGUUUUCAAGAUUUUGCUCUUCCAAAUAAUAAAGAUUCAUUUAUGAAAAAGUUAAGAGAACGUGAAGCAGCUAUUAAUGAACGAAUUCGGAGGAUACAAACUAAUUCUUCUGAAGCCAGAACAUAAAUCUAUUUAAAGUCUCCACAGCGUAAUAACGCCGUGACCGAAGAAAUACAAAUAUGCAGACCCAAUAUAUCGUGUGCUUAAUUUUAGGUGUCAUCACCAUCCUUUUUAUGUUUUACAUAAAUAAAAAACUACACUCUGAACCAGUCGUAAAGAAAGCGCCGACUUUGUAUGAAAUGUUUUUGGGUAACCCAAUUAACGUUUCUAUUUGUGCUUUUAUUUUAUUAAUUGUGAUGGUCGGAAUAAAAAAACUACGAAAGAGAUAUCUGCAAAAACUCAAGCGGAAUUGGUUUAUAACAACGGUCUCUGAGAGAUUAUUCACAGAAAUAAGUGUGAACUAUGUUAACAAUAUACGUGAGAAGGAAAGGGCUUACAUAAACAAAAUAAUGUACACUGAUCCGAAUCUAACAAAGCUAUUCACCAAUGCAAUGAAAGAGCUAAUACCGUUGUACGAUUUAAGCUCAGAAACACUUGUGGAAGAAAGCUUUUUCUUGAGCAGAAUUUGUGAGCUCAUCUUUAUGAAAAUCAGUGAAGCCCGCUUAAAUGGUACUCUUGCAGUAGUGCCAGAGGCUCAGGAUAAUUGAUUCAACGAAACAAUUAUUUUAUAUCAUUUCAGUUUAGGAUUUUGCGACACAUAGUUUUAAAAUCUAAAUUUUUGUAUGGUUCAACGCAAAUCUUUUCGCUGAAAAUUCUAAAUCUCAGUUAAUCCCUAUCUAAAUCAAUAUACAUUUAUGGGGAAAUAUAUAUAC
Long non-coding RNA from Teleopsis dalmanni, 936 nucleotides. RefSeq lists it as uncharacterized. The record is from RefSeq and is a predicted model, not a curated record. NCBI's taxonomy places the organism in Eukaryota, Metazoa, Arthropoda, Insecta, Diptera, Diopsidae. The transcript is spliced from 4 exons.